Molecule: ribosomal RNA, 485 nt
Filed under: uncultured bacterium
Lineage: Bacteria
Description: partial 16S ribosomal RNA
Rfam family: Bacterial small subunit ribosomal RNA
Source: RNAcentral
UUGAACGCUGGCGGCAUGCCUUACACAUGCAAGUCGAACGGCAGCACGGGUGCUUGCACCUGGUGGCGAGUGGCGAACGGGUGAGUAAUACAUCGGAACAUGUCCUGUAGUGGGGGGUAGCCCGGCGAAAGCCGGAUUAAUACCGCAUACGAUCUACGGAUGAAAGCGGGGGACCUUCGGGCCUCGCGCUAUAGGGUUGGCCGAUGGCUGAUUAGCUAGUUGGUGGGGUAAAGGCCUACCAAGGCGACGAUCAGUAGCUGGUCUGAGAGGACGACCAGCCACACUGGGACUGAGACACGGCCCAGACUCCUACGGGAGGCAGCAGUGGGGAAUUUUGGACAAUGGGCGAAAGCCUGAUCCAGCAAUGCCGCGUGUGUGAAGAAGGCCUUCGGGUUGUAAAGCACUUUUGUCCGGAAAGAAAUCCUUGGCUCUAAUACAGUCGGGGGAUGACGGUACCGGAAGAAUAAGCACCGGCUAACUACGUG